CCUUCGGGGUGAGCGGCGGACGGGUUAGUAACGCGUGGGAACGUGCCCAGAUCUAAGGAAUAGCCACUGGAAACGGUGAGUAAUACCUUAUACGCCCUUCGGGGGAAAGAUUUAUCGGAUUUGGAUCGGCCCGCGUUAGAUUAGAUAGUUGGUGGGGUAACGGCCUACCAAGUCUACGAUCUAUAGCUGGUUUUAGAGGAUGAUCAGCAACACUGGGACUGAGACACGGCCCAGACUCCUACGGGAGGCAGCAGUGGGGAAUCUUGGACAAUGGGGGCAACCCUGAUCCAGCCAUGCCGCGUGAGUGAUGAAGGCCUUAGGGUCGUAAAGCUCUUUCGCCAGAGAUGAUAAUGACAGUAUCUGGUAAAGAAACCCCGGCUAACUCCGUGCCAGCAGCCGCGGUAAUACGGAGGGGGUUAGCGUUGUUCGGAAUUACUGGGCGUAAAGCGCGCGUAGGCGGACCAGAAAGUUGGGGGUGAAAUCCCGGGGCUCAACCCCGGAACUGCCUCCAAAACUCCUGGUCUAGAGUUCGAGAGAGGUGAGUGGAAUUCCGAGUGUAGAGGUGAAAUUCGUAGAUAUUCGGAGGAACACCAGUGGCGAAGGCGGCUCACUGGCUCGAUACUGACGCUGAGGUGCGAAAGUGUGGGGAGCAAA
This 654-nucleotide ribosomal RNA is filed under the name Roseobacter sp. W27. RNAcentral's name for it is "bacterial SSU rRNA". It matches the Rfam family "Bacterial small subunit ribosomal RNA", at positions 83 to 772 of the family's 1533-position model. Lineage: Bacteria; Pseudomonadati; Pseudomonadota; Alphaproteobacteria; Rhodobacterales; Roseobacteraceae. The record is from RNAcentral.